This 253-nucleotide ribosomal RNA is filed under the name uncultured bacterium. RNAcentral's name for it is "partial 16S ribosomal RNA". It matches the Rfam family "Bacterial small subunit ribosomal RNA", at positions 524 to 776 of the family's 1533-position model. The record is from RNAcentral.
UACGUAGGGGGCAAGCGUUGUCCGGAUUUAUUGGGCGUAAAGAGCGUGUAGGCGGCCAGAUAGGUCAGCUGUGAAAACUCGAGGCUCAACCUCGAGAUGUCGAUGGAAACCGUCUGGCUAGAGUCCGGAAGAGGAGUGUGGAAUUCCUGGUGUAGCGGUGAAAUGCGCAGAUAUCAGGAAGAACACCUAUGGCGAAGGCAGCACUCUGGGACGGUACUGACGCUGAGACGCGAAAGCGUGGGGAGCGAACAGG